Molecule: long non-coding RNA, 904 nt
Organism: Girardinichthys multiradiatus
Lineage: Eukaryota; Metazoa; Chordata; Actinopteri; Cyprinodontiformes; Goodeidae
Exons: 2
Source: RefSeq, a predicted model, not a curated record
CUUCAGUGGUACAAGCUCAAGCCACAACUAAUCUUUGCUUUGUGCUAUGCUCUUAGUAAUCUUUGUUUGUGCUCCUUUGCAGGUUCUUUUACCUGAACCUUUGGAUAACUUUUGUUGAUGCCUCACUUUGCUCUCAGCAUUGUUUUGCUGUUUUGGAUUUUUGACUUCUGGAGAAAGGUCUCCUAUUUUUGUGGAUUAAGAUCCAAGAUUCCUGUUUACUUUGUCAGGACAACAACCAGCUGGCAGCUUCCUGUCUUCACCGUCAUCUGAACUUUGGCAUAAGCAUAACCUGUUCAUGCUCCAACGCAAGUACCUCCUUUCUGAACUCAUCAUUCCUCACAGAUCUCUCAAGCCUUACCGGAGAAACUUCUGUGCCGAACACUCAAACUCCAAAUCCCUCAACCCCUCCAGUGGUUAGAUUACUCCAACAUUAUCAGCCCUGGAGGAUAUCUUACCUGAUCUAUCUCCAGAGACCUCAAGCCCUUGAAUUCCAAAGGGUUUCUGGUCUGAGCACCUCUCCUCUCUGUGCUUUUGCAUCCUCCAUGCCAACUCCAAGCUUUUCAUAACUCCCUGGAAGAACCUCAGAUCCAGGUCAUCACCAGCAGCUCAUGAAUACCUCUGCCCACCUGCUCUCCAGUAUACAGUACCACCAGUCAACAAACGCUGGCACAGGCUUCUCCUGGCACAGCUUUCCCCACACUUACCUCCGAACCAACAGGAUCUGCCUCCGUCUGUGCCGCCACCUCUCCUCGAAUCCGGAAGCCAGCUCCACUAACAUACUUAGAACAUUUCCUCCAUGACUCCUGCUGCCUCGCUAACAUCUCUCUCUCUCUCCUUCCCUCAGAUAAACUGACCCUGUCAGAAACAGAUCUUCACUAUUCACUUAAUAAAUGUCAAAACUUGA